Molecule: ribosomal RNA, 467 nt
Filed under: uncultured bacterium
Lineage: Bacteria
Description: partial 16S ribosomal RNA
Rfam family: Bacterial small subunit ribosomal RNA
Source: RNAcentral
GACGAACGCUGGCGGCGUGCUUAACACAUGCAAGUCGAACGGAAAGGCCUCUUUCGUGGGGUACUCGAGUGGCGAACGGGUGAGUAACACAUGAGUAACCUGCCCUUGACUUUGGGAUAACUUCAGGAAACUGGCGCUAAUACCGGAUAGGAGCUCCUGCUGCAUGGUGGGGGUUGGAAAGUUUCGGCGGUUGGGGAUGGACUCGCGGCUUAUCAGCUUGUUGGUGGGGUAGUGGCUUACCAAGGCUUUGACGGGUAGCCGGACUGAGAGGGUGACCGGCCACAUUGGGACUGAGAUACGGCCCAGACUCCUACGGGAGGCAGCAGUGGGGAAUAUUGCACAAUGGGUGGAAGCCUGAUGCAGCAACGCCGUGUGCGGGAUGACGGCCUUCGGGUUGUAAACCGCUUUCGCUCAUGACGAAGCUUUGUGUGACGGUAGUGGGUAAAGAAGCACCGGCUAACUACGUG